This 76-nucleotide small RNA is filed under the name Corchorus olitorius. Its description in RNAcentral is "isrK Hfq binding RNA". It matches the Rfam family "isrK Hfq binding RNA". Lineage: Eukaryota; Viridiplantae; Streptophyta; Magnoliopsida; Malvales; Malvaceae. The record is from Rfam by way of RNAcentral.
GCCGUAGCAAAAUCUACGGACGGGCGUGGAAACCCGGAAUAAGCAAGAGGCGACACAGACGCCAAGCGUCUUUUUU